RNAcentral lists this ribosomal RNA (252 nucleotides) under uncultured bacterium. RNAcentral describes it as "partial 16S ribosomal RNA". It matches the Rfam family "Bacterial small subunit ribosomal RNA", at positions 524 to 776 of the family's 1533-position model. The record is from RNAcentral.
UACGUAGGGUGCAAGCGUUGUCCGGAAUUAUUGGGCGUAAAGAGCUCGUAGGCGGUCUGUCGCGUCUGCUGUGAAAACUCGGGGCUUAACCCCGGGCCUGCAGUGGGUACGGGCAGACUAGAGUGCGGUAGGGGAGACUGGAAUUCCUGGUGUAGCGGUGAAAUGCGUAGAUAUCGGAAGGAACAUCAGUGGCGAAAGCGACUUCCUGGACCAGUACCGACGUUCAGGCACGAAAGCGUGGGAGCAAACAGG